Molecule: ribosomal RNA, 253 nt
Filed under: uncultured Acidobacteriota bacterium
Lineage: Bacteria; Pseudomonadati; Acidobacteriota
Description: uncultured Acidobacteria bacterium partial 16S ribosomal RNA
Rfam family: Bacterial small subunit ribosomal RNA
Source: RNAcentral
UACGUAGGCAGCGAGCGUUGUUCGGAGUUACUGGGCGUAAAGCGUGCGUAGGCGGUGUUCCAAGUCUGGUGUGAAAUCUCCCGGCUUAACCGGGAGGGUGCGCUAGAAACUGGGACGCUGGAGUGUGGGAGAGGCAAGCGGAAUUCCUGGUGUAGCGGUGAAAUGCGUAGAUAUCAGGAGGAACACCUGCGGUGUAGACGGCUUGCUGGACCAUGACUGACGCUGAGGCACGAAAGCGUGGGGAGCAAACAGG